UUACUGAUAGGUUAAGUAAACUAACAAAUUGUGGUUUUGUAGAUUACAUCAAUUAUUAUUGUGUAUC
This 67-nucleotide transfer RNA is filed under the name Nippotaenia mogurndae. RNAcentral's name for it is "tRNA-His". Lineage: Eukaryota; Metazoa; Platyhelminthes; Cestoda; Nippotaeniidea; Nippotaeniidae. The record is from RNAcentral.